AUCCCUCCUUUUUUAAGUACAUAGGCUACACAGCUUUCAGAAAAUAUUAACUUAUCUAACAUAACUAUAUUGUUUAUAUAUAUAUAUAUACAUAUGUGUGUGUGUGUGUGUAUAUAUGAAGAGUUCAGAUGCAAAAGCCUUUAAAUCCAUCUGACGUCUUUCUUUAAAAAAUGUAUUUUUAUCAGGCUCUGAUGUAUAGGUUUCUACCUAAGUACUGGUAAUUCUGAUUGGGCUGAGGCUGGGAUUUUAGCAACUUUGAAGUAAAAGUAUUUGAUGGACAUAUAAUAUGUGUCGAGAGGAUUCACUCAGUAUCAUUAUCUCAUUUUUGACCGAGAUGGCUUUUAGGGGGUUUUGAUCUAAACUCUUCAUAUAUAUGUAUUUGUGUGUGUGUGUAUUAUAUUAUAUAUAUUAUAUAUUAGUGGUGUCAAUCGAUUAAAUCAAUUAAAUAUCCUACCUGACAUUAAAGUUUUUAAUUAUAAUUUUAUAUUGCAAUAAUUUCACAUUCAAGCUUCAAAUUAAUGUAGAAACAACAUAAAGAAAGUAUAUUUUUAAUAUGUGUUUAAUGCCAUCCUUUUUUAUUCAAGUAUUAUUGAUUCCAGCUGAUGUCUCUAUAAAUUUUGUUUCCUAAUAUUUAACCAAGCCAUUCAACAUUGCAGUAUAACUGAGAGCUAUCACUUUAACAUUUAUUAGACUUUAAAAAAUAGCUUCUAAUUUAAGUGAACUUAAAACAAUCUUCACAUAAACCUAUUAUAAUAAACGUCAUACAGUAUAUCUAGCUGUGCCCUGCUGUUACUCUAAAAGCUGCAGCUGCUUAACUAGAUGCGGAUCUGAUACUGCUUUAAAUUUAUUAAACAAUAAAUACUUACAUGCACAGUUUUAAGGCAGCUUUAAUCGCCUUUUUUUGUAACUUAAUGCCUUAACUGACGACAUAAUUAUGACUAACUACAUAAUCGUAAUAGUUUCAUUUGGGUUUGAAUAUAUAGCCUAAUACAAUGCACAUUUGUAUGUGUGCACUUGAGGAGCACCCGCUACGAGCACAGUAUAAAGCCGGGUUCACACUACAGGAUUUUUAGCCCGAUUUUCCCCUCCCGAGAAUCGGAGCAAACAUUUGUAAACAUUAGUUGCUGAAAUGACGAUCUUUUAGAUCUUACGAUCGUAAUAUCACGUGACGCGCUCCCUCUAUCAUGAUAAUCUUAAUAAUAUCUUGUAGUGUGUGAUGCGCCACGAUUUUAGAAUCUUGUAGUGUGUGCAUGUUUAAGAUUUCAGGGAAGAUAAUCUGCAAAGAUUCUCCUUAUGUGUGCGCUGCAACCAGAUUUCAUAAUCGGUUAGGAUUAACGGCUGACAGGACAGGAAGAUUCGAUUUUACCAACAUAUAGCCUGACAACAUCUCAUCUGACUUCAGUUCACUGCUGUUCUACUGAAGCUCCGUACCAUUUCCGCGCUCUUUUGACUCGCACCUGUCGCUGAUGUGAAGUUGUAGCGCGCUUCUAGAAGUCUCCCGUUUGAUGUGCUCAUAAAGACGUUCUAGGUCUAAAUGCUGUAGCUGAGGUGAGUGGGGUGGCCAAAGCUACCCCAACCCAUGCGUUAAUUAUGUUAAAUAUUUUUUACACGUUAAAUAUAUAUACACAACAUUAUUAGUGCCCAGAUGACAAACGAAUACUUGUUUCAUGUUUCACAUCUAUAGUUUUAAAUGUCAGUUUUAAGUACUGGAAUCACUUUAUUAUUGUCUAAUUACAAACAUUUACUUUUGUUUUCUCAGGCUAUGGUGACUAUUAAUAUUUUUGAGAUGCUGACCAAAUUUGGUUCCUUUUUUAACAUAUUAACUCGAUUGAAAGAUUUGCAUAAUUGGAUAAUUGAAAAUGUAUAUAAAAUGAAUAAUAAAACUGAAAAUCCUAUUCAGCACAACUUCAAUAUAAAAUUUAAUAUACAAAACAUGUAUAAUCCAACAACUACAAUAAACAUAAAUCCACAACAAAAUUAGGUGUGCUAGAUAAGGGUCUUAAAAAAAAAACAAAAAACAAAACAAAACAAAAAAACAAAAAAAAAAAAAAAACAAAAAAAAAAAAAAAAAAAAAAAAAAAAAAAAAAAAAAAAAAAAAAAAAAAAAACAAACAAACAAACAAAACAAAAAAAAAGCCACUGAUGCCGACUACUCCUUGACCGUGUUUGCUCAUAAGUUCUCAAAAGUAAUAAUACUCACCACUGUCCGUACCUUCCCGAGGAGAGAUCUUGUUAUGUCUUGGCCACAAAACCAUUCUGUUUUAUAUGUUGGUCUGGAGCAGGUGGAAUCUUCACAAAGGUGGUGCAGACAACAACUAGAACCACCUCCAGACUGCAUACUGUACAUCACUGUAAGGUCAACAAACACUCUCUUCGUUAAACCUCUUUUUCCGGCGGUUCGAGUACCAGAGUGGACUCAGUGGAACAGUACACAAACAGAGCCACCUUUCACUGCAACUGACCCACAAAGACUGCCUUGCCAAGCACAACGCAGGGCUGUGCAACUGGUACGAAUGUACCUUCCUUGAGGGAACGGACCAAUGGAAUGGGCCCAUCCCGGAAGGGACCAAGGACCCCUUAAAAACCCCUUGUCAUCACUGGUUUAAAAGUACAGCAGAAGUGAUCCUGUGAGGGUGUAUGGGAGAUGCCAAGAUUACAAAAUCAAGAGAACCAAGAGAAAUGCCUGGCAUGUCAUUUUGUACACCUGAGAAAAAAAACUGACAAGUGAUGAAUAAUAUGUGCAUAAUCUAGGUGGCCCGAUACUGCACUUCUGUACUUGUACAGUCGUAAGUCCCGAUACCAAGAGCCGAUACCACACAACAUGUGAAAAUUCCUGUGUUCAGUUAAAGAAUAUUAAGUACUGUAGAUAAAAAAAAAAAAAAUUAACAAAAAAAUUAACAGAGAAAGUAACAAAAGCUUUAAUAUGAAAUAUUAAGUACUAGGUAUGUGACGACAUCUCGUGGCACGAGAAAACGAGAAAAACUAAAGUAUCUUAACACUUGUAUAUAUAGUAACGCUUAUCCUCUUCUGCCAGGAGGUGGUUUAAGUUCAUAAAGUUCAAAAUGCACCUACAUUUUAUUGCAUUUUGUCUUUUUUAGUUGAAAAAAAAAAAAUAAAAUCCCUAUAUAUGUCAUCAUUGAGGAUUUCUUAAAAAAAGUUUAAAAAUCUCGUCUCGUCUCGUACUUGUGAACCCAGUCUUGUCCCAUCUCAUGGGAUAAGUGUCUCGUCACACCCCUAUUAAGUACCAAUGUUAAAGUGUUUGAUUCUGAAAAAAAAAAAGAAUGAAUAUUAAAU
Labeo rohita (rohu) is the source of this 3294-nucleotide long non-coding RNA. RefSeq lists it as uncharacterized. The record is from RefSeq and is a predicted model, not a curated record. NCBI's taxonomy places the organism in Eukaryota, Metazoa, Chordata, Actinopteri, Cypriniformes, Cyprinidae. The transcript is spliced from 4 exons.